RNAcentral lists this ribosomal RNA (497 nucleotides) under uncultured bacterium. RNAcentral's name for it is "partial 16S ribosomal RNA". It matches the Rfam family "Bacterial small subunit ribosomal RNA", at positions 28 to 507 of the family's 1533-position model. The record is from RNAcentral.
GAUGAACGCUGGCGGCGUGCCUAAUACAUGCAAGUCGAGCGAACAGACGAGGAGCUUGCUCCUCUGACGUUAGCGGCGGACGGGUGAGUAACACGUGGAUAACCUACCUAUAAGACUGGGAUAACUUCGGGAAACCGGAGCUAAUACCGGAUAAUAUAUUGAACCGCAUGGUUCAAUAGUGAAAGACGGUUUUGCUGUCACUUAUAGAUGGAUCCGCGCCGCAUUAGCUAGUUGGUAAGGUAACGGCUUAACAAGGCAACGAUGCGUAGCCGACAUGAGAGGGUGAUCGGCCACACGGGAACUGAGACACGGUCCAGACUCCGAGGGGAGGCAGCAGUAGGGAAUCUUCCGCGAUGGGCGAAAGCCUGACGGAGCAACGCCGCGUGAGUGAUGAAGGUCUUCGGAUCGGAAAACUCUGUUAUUAGGGAAGAACAAAUGUGUAAGUAACUAUGCACGUCUUGACGGUACCUAAUCAGAAAGCCACGGCUAACUACGUG